Molecule: long non-coding RNA, 2760 nt
Organism: Girardinichthys multiradiatus
Lineage: Eukaryota; Metazoa; Chordata; Actinopteri; Cyprinodontiformes; Goodeidae
Exons: 3
Source: RefSeq, a predicted model, not a curated record
GGGAGUUUUUCUUCUCUGUCGCUACAUGCAUGCUCAGUAUGAGGGAUUGCUGCCAAGUCAAUGCGAGCGACUGUCCACUGUCGCUACAUGGUAAAACAUUUUUAACCAAUUUAAAUAAUUAACUGAAUCCGACUACAAAAUCAGAUUAAUCGAAUCCAUCAGAUUGAUUUCAAGUCAGGAAUAAUCGGAAUGUAUGUACCUAACUAUCAAACAGUGCAAAGUGCCAUGAGGCACCAUGUGUUGUGAAUUGGCGCUAUAUAAAUAAACUGAAUUGAAUUGAAUUUAUCUUCCGCCAAACAAGCAGUUUCUUCUAGGUCCGUGUGGUUCUUUCUUCGAAACAGACACAGUCAUUUGCACAAUCGUUUCAAAGUCCUGAUACUGGUAAUAAUUUGAUGCCAAUGUGCUAAGAAAUUAACAAUGUUGUUAUUUGUGAAACCAAUACAAAAGCAUAGCUUCACAAGAUGCUCAACAUUCCUCAUUUUAACGCAUGGAAGAAUGUGUUUUGUAAGAUUUGUCAUAAAAAUUUCCAAUGGCCAGUCUGCCCCUGGGCCUAGGAGUCCCAGGAACCUUCUUAAUAUAUCAGUUUAGAAACUCAAGCCUGAAGGUCAGAAAUCAACAAACUGUGAUACAGUAAUCGAAUCAAAAUUUGAUUAUGAUUAUGACGGAAUUUGGUCAAUACUAUAAAAGUACCAAAUUUGGUACCAUCCCUAGCUCUCAGGGUGGUUUUGAACAAGAAUAGCAACUAGUGCGCCGAGCUCAUAGAGCAAAACCCCAUGUCGAUGUGCGUAUCACUAUAAGAAAGUCACGUGACCAAUACAGGAACUGUUUCGAACUGACUCUGAUGCGCCAAACUGUGUUUAUAAGGAAGCAUAUUUGUCAACGAGAUGCAUCUGCCCAAAAGAAUGUCUCAUCUUCUGCGGUUCAUCAUCAAAUUCAUCAAGAAUUACUGAGCAGCCUCGAGCCAAACGAAAGGUUUCCGCCGUGUUGACCAUUUUUGAUCUGAUAUCGGAAAAUAAGGUAUUUGUUUUAAUUUCCUUGUUUCAUCUUGUUCCUCUCAGAGUUUCCAAUUGAUCUAUCUGAACUGAAAUUCAUUUCAAAGUGACUCUUAGUUUACUGUUCAUAUUAUUUUCUGAAGGUUAAAGUUUGAAUUUGUUCGACAGAACUUUCCAAUUUAAACAAAAGCACCUCCUCAAUGCUCUGGCAUUAUAGGGCCAGGCAUGAGAAUGAAGUCCCAGAUACACCCAGGAUAAACUCAGCUUCCAGGAAGCAGAUGCUGGAUGAGGCUCUGCUGAAUUUCAUCCUGAAGGACUGACAGCCCCUCAGCACUGUGGAGAGUGAAGGGUUCAGGGAACCUGUUCAGGUCCUUCAGCCCUCAUAUGUUUUGCCAACCAGAAAGACCAUUAAACGAAUGGUGGCCAAAAAGUACGAGGAGGAACGGGAAUGAGGUGACUGUGGCUCAGUAGGAAGAGUAGUCGUCUUGCAAUCAGAAGGUUGUGGGUUUGAUUCCAGCUUCCUCCUGCCAUAUGUCGAUGUGCCCCUGGGCAAGGCACUUAUCCUCAAGUUGCCUAUCGAUCUGGGUAUCGGUGUAUGAAUGUGUGAGCGUUGAGUGAAUGAGACUCUUGUGUAAAGCGGUUUGAGUGGUCUGUAUGACUGGAAAAGCUAUAAGUUCUAUAAGUUCAGUCCAUUUACCAUUUUGCGAGUGAAAAUGGAAGUACAGCAAGUUGUGGCAGUGAGUAUACCAGCUGACAUGUGGACAUCUGUAACAUGGAGGCUUACUUGGCUCUUACCUGUCGCUACAUUAAUGAGAAUUUGCAGUUGUGUACAUCUGUGUUGGGAGUGCAAUACUUUCCACAAAGUCACACAUUUUGGCCCAAGUCAAAAGGGGCAUGAUGGAGGACUGGGCCAUAACCAAUAAAGUAAUGAUGCCAUAACAAACAUGAUGGCAUCCACUAGACGGCUCCAAAUUCGGCACUCACCUUGUAUUGCAUAUAGUCCCAAUUUAUUAGUUAGAAAAUCAUGUGAUCAGAUCCCCACUCUUACAUUCAUCAGACACAAAGCCAGGCACAUUGUCACAACCUUCAGAUCAAGUAGCCAAGGAGAAGCUUGGUCAAGCACAGCAACAGAUGGCACGACCAACCCUGAAACUUAUCAAUGAGGUGCCAACAUGCUGAAACAGCACAUAUGAAAUGCUGUCAAGGCUACAUGAUGAGAAGGAACCAGUGUUGGUAUCUCUGGCCUCUACAAACAGAUUUGACUCCACUUACAACUGAUGAGUAUACCAUCAUAGGAAAAACACUUCUUGUGCUUGCUCCUUUCCUUCAAGCUACAGUGGAGUUGUCUGAAGAGAGGUGAGUGUCAGGGUCAAACGUCAUCCCAAUGAUAAAAAUGCUCUAUCUUGCACUAGAGCUUAAUACUUCAACCUUGCACACACAGGCUAUGGCUAUACACCUACAUGAACACCUGAAGCAUUGAGUCACAGACACUGCUUCCAAUCUGGAGUCAUUAAGUGUGUUCACCCUAGCAACACUUCUAGAACCCAGAUUUAAAUCACUCGGGUUCUGCACUUCCUCCAAGUGCAAUGAGGCUGUCAGUAGACUGCGGUCAGAACAUGCACCUGUAAUUGGACGCACAAAUGAGCCCAAGCCAGGACCGUCUUCACAACAGCUGUCUGCACCCACGUCAGACAUGUUAUUCAGCAUUAUUUGUUUGUUGUUGUUGCUGUUGUUUAGAAAUCAUGCACUAAAAUGUCAAUUCUUUGUU